RNAcentral lists this ribosomal RNA (495 nucleotides) under Triticum aestivum (bread wheat). RNAcentral's name for it is "partial small subunit ribosomal RNA". The record is from RNAcentral. Lineage: Eukaryota; Viridiplantae; Streptophyta; Magnoliopsida; Poales; Poaceae.
AUGGGCCAGAUAGCGAUUGCAAGUGCUACAUCAGGUAUAGCGGCGUCAAUAAUGCCCGGAGGACGGACUACGCACUCCAGGUUCAAAAUUCCAAUCAAGCUCACUGACAACAGCAUGUGUAGUUUCACAAAGCAGAGUGGUACAGCGGAGUUGCUUAAACAAGCCUCCUUGAUAAUUUGGGACGAGGUCGCUAUGACAAAACGUCAAGCAGUUGAGACGCUUGAUAGAUCCCUGCAGGACAUAAUGGACUGUUCUUUGCCAUUUGGGGGAAAGGUUGUCGUCUUUGGUGGGGAUUUCAGGCAGGUACUCCCCGUUGUGACACGUGGGACAAGAGCACAGGCUGAUCCUUGGUUCUCUGAAUACCUCCUACGGAUCGGCAAUGGAACAGAAGAGACAAUUGGCGACGACUAUGUGCGUCUCCCUGACGACAUUGUGAUCGGCUAUACCGAGGAUGAGAAAGCUAUUAACAUACUCAUCGACAAUGUCUUCCCAUAG